Long non-coding RNA from Acyrthosiphon pisum (pea aphid), 875 nucleotides. RefSeq lists it as uncharacterized. The transcript has 2 exons. NCBI's taxonomy places the organism in Eukaryota, Metazoa, Arthropoda, Insecta, Hemiptera, Aphididae. The record is from RefSeq and is a predicted model, not a curated record.
GUAAUUCGUUAUAUAUCCUAACUUUGACUUUAUAACUCGCUUUUGCUUGGUUCACUGGAUUCGGAACACUUGUUUCCAUAGAUUUUCUAACACUCAAUAAAAAGUUGCAAUUGAAGGGCGAUAUUUCAAAAUGUACUAUUUCCAUUUUACACUUUUUUGAGAAAUCACGAUUUUUUAUUUAUAAUUACCAGUGGAAAUAGUACAUUAUGUGUUUAAUUCAAUAAUUGAAUUAAAUAAUUAUUAUAACAUAGGUAAGAUAAUAUAUAAUAUUAUAUAAUAUAAUUAUUAUAUUUCCUAUCUUCAUACUAUGGGAAAUAGUAAAAUAUGGCAUACUUUGCAUCAAUUUGUCAAAUGAACAAACUAUUUAACAUGGGAAAUAUUAUGAUUUGAAAUAAUUUUGGAAAUAGUGCGUUUUGCGUCAUAUAUGAGUUUCAGGUUGAUUUUAACAAAGGGAAUAGUACGUUUUGGUCCAAUUUGACCACGCCAUUUGAUUCCACGUACAUUUUUUCAUAUGAUUCGAUGUAUAACUCAUUUCAUGACAUUUUGGAGAUCGCACGUUUUGAAAUGUCACCCAUCAAUUGCACGUGAGAAUCCGGGGUCUUUGGUGUUACCAUAAACGACCGAUCCGACUCCUGUACUCAGCAAAUUAAGUGAUGAAAACAUUUUAAUAAUGCACCCAUAAUGUCAUCUGUCAGAUUUUGCAGUAACUUACCUAUCUCAAGUUUUUCUGCAAGCUCAAAUGCUACUCAACAGUGUUAAAAGUUUGUGCUGUUUACAUUUUACUGUUAUUUUUUACACGAGCGUGACACCAAGUCCUAGUCAACAGCAGAGCGGUUACCUACUCUAUCCCUGUUCACUUUUAACAUAAAUCUUAU